RNAcentral lists this ribosomal RNA (493 nucleotides) under uncultured bacterium. Its description in RNAcentral is "bacterial SSU rRNA". It matches the Rfam family "Bacterial small subunit ribosomal RNA", at positions 15 to 518 of the family's 1533-position model. The record is from RNAcentral.
GAUCAUGGCUCAGGAUGAACGCUGGCGGCGUGCUUAACACAUGCAAGUCGAACGAAGCAACUAUCUUGCUGCAAGAGAGUUGACUUAGUGGCGGACGGGUGAGUAACGCGUGGGUAACCUGCCUCAUACAGGGGGAUAACAGUUGGAAACGACUGCUAAGACCGCAUAACCCGCUAGUGUCGCAUGACACGGACGGAAAAUAUUUAUAGGUAUGAGAUGGGCCCGCGUCUGAUUAGCUAGUUGGUAAGGUAACGGCUUACCAAGGCGACGAUCAGUAGCCGACUUGAGAGAGUGAUCGGCCACAUUGGGACUGAGACACGGCCCAAACUCCUACGGGAGGCAGCAGUGGGGAAUAUUGGACAAUGGGGGAAACCCUGAUCCAGCCGACGCCGCGUGAGUGAAGAAGUAUUUCGGUAUGUAAAGCUCUAUCAGCAGGGAAGAUAAUGACAGUACCUGACUAAGAAGCCCCGGCUAACUACGUGCCAGCCGCCGC